UUUUUGUCAUAUUUGAUUUUCUUGGGCAUGUAUUACAGUAGUUAUUCGUCUACUUUCAUUGUUUACUGGCAUUGUUUAUGGGUAAAAUCAAGCUAGACAAGAAUUAGGAUAUUAUUUUUUCCCAAUUAGAGAACAGACAUUUACGUGCACCGGUGUCAAUAAAAUAAAAAGAAAAUAUUGUAGGAGUAAAGUACGAACUUGAAAUUUCUGUCUACGAUUAAAA
Molecule: long non-coding RNA, 223 nt
Filed under: Glycine max (soybean)
Lineage: Eukaryota; Viridiplantae; Streptophyta; Magnoliopsida; Fabales; Fabaceae
Description: long non-coding RNA (GMAX_LNC001410)
Source: RNAcentral